RNAcentral lists this ribosomal RNA (468 nucleotides) under uncultured bacterium. RNAcentral describes it as "partial 16S ribosomal RNA". It matches the Rfam family "Bacterial small subunit ribosomal RNA", at positions 28 to 507 of the family's 1533-position model. The record is from RNAcentral.
GACGAACGCUGGCGGCGUGCUUAACACAUGCAAGUCGAACGGAAACGCACUGAGUUUGUGCUCUUCUGGAGUGCGGAACGCGGGAGUAUCACGUGUGUAACCUGCCCUACACUUUCGGGGAAGUUCACGAAACGGGGCCUAAUAUCAGAUAGGAGACGCUGUAGGGGUGCGAGCGGUGGAACUUUGCGGCGGGUGCGGAUGGACGCGCGGCUUAACGGCUAGUUGGUGGGGGAGGGGCAUACCCACGCUUAGACGGGUAGCCGGCCUGUGAGGGUGACCGGCCACAUUGGGACUGAGAGACGGACCAGACUCCUACGGGAGGCAGCAGUGGGGAAUAUUGCACAAUGGGCGGAAGCCUGAUGCAGCAACGCCGCGUGUGGGAUGACGGCCUUCGGGUUGUAAACCGCUUUAGGCUGUGACGAAGCGGGAGUGACGGUACCGGGAGAAGAAGCACCGGCUAACUACGUG